UUCGUCCAAGUGAAGCAGAGGACAGUGGCGGACGGGUGAGUAACGCGUGGGUAACCUGCCUCAUACAGGGGGAUAACAGUUGGAAACGACUGCUAAUACCGCAUAAGCGCACAGGAUUGCAUGAUCCAGUGUGAAAAACUCCGGUGGUACAAGAUGGACCCGCGUCUGAUUAGCUGGUUGGUGAGGUAACGGCCCACCAAGGCGACGAUCAGUAGCCGGUCUGAGAGGAUGAACGGCCACACUGGAACUGAGACACGGUCCAGACUCC
Molecule: ribosomal RNA, 268 nt
Filed under: uncultured Lachnospiraceae bacterium
Lineage: Bacteria; Bacillati; Bacillota; Clostridia; Lachnospirales; Lachnospiraceae
Description: partial 16S ribosomal RNA
Rfam family: Bacterial small subunit ribosomal RNA
Source: RNAcentral